AUUUGCUAGGUGGGGAGUUAGCGGUGCCCUGUACUUGCAAUCCGCUUUAGCAAGGCUGAAUACCAAGAUUCGGGUAGUUUGCGUGAUGACGAGUUUAGCACGUGGUGUUGAGAUUGAGGCAUCUUAUGACGUAAUAAUUAUGAACCAUGUCAGGUCAGGAAUGAAGCAGCAUUAAGUAAUUUUUUACGGGUGUGAGUAUUUGUCAAGGUUGAGCUGGCGACUAAACUAACGGUUGUGUUAGCUAUUCAACUCUUGGUUGCAUAU
RNAcentral lists this signal recognition particle RNA (264 nucleotides) under Gemella sp. zg-570. RNAcentral describes it as "Bacterial large signal recognition particle RNA". It matches the Rfam family "Bacterial large signal recognition particle RNA". From Rfam's summary of the family: The signal recognition particle (SRP) is a universally conserved ribonucleoprotein involved in the co-translational targeting of proteins to membranes. Archaeal SRP consists of a 7S RNA and homologues of the eukaryotic SRP19 and SRP54 proteins. Lineage: Bacteria; Bacillati; Bacillota; Bacilli; Caryophanales; Gemellaceae. The record is from Rfam by way of RNAcentral. RNAcentral also lists the same sequence under 1 other name.